RNAcentral lists this transfer RNA (35 nucleotides) under Crocidura grayi (Luzon shrew). Its description in RNAcentral is "partial tRNA-Thr". Lineage: Eukaryota; Metazoa; Chordata; Mammalia; Eulipotyphla; Soricidae. The record is from RNAcentral.
ACAGAGCCUUAGUAGUAUAACUAAUACACUGGUCU